GCGCACAGGCGAGAAACCUCCGCAAUGCGGGAAACCGCGACGGGGGACCCCGAGUGCCGUGGCAACGCCACGGCUUUUCCGGAGUGUAAAAAGCUCCGGGAAUAAGGGCUGGGCAAGGCCGGUGGCAGCCGCCGCGGUAAUACCGGCGGCCCGAGUGGUGGCCGCUAUUAUUGGGCCUAAAGCGUCCGUAGCCGGGCCCGUAAGUCCCUAGCGAAAUCCCACGGCUCAACCGUGGGGCUUGCUGGGGAUACUGCGGGUCUUGGGACCGGGAGAGGCGGGGGGUACCCCUGGGGUAGGGGUGAAAUCCUAUAAUCCCAGGGGGACCGCCAGUGGCGAAGGCGCCCCGCUGGAACGGGUCCGACGGUGAGGGACGAAGGCCAGGGGAGCAAACCGGAUUAGAUACCCGCGUAGU
This 412-nucleotide ribosomal RNA is filed under the name uncultured microorganism. RNAcentral describes it as "bacterial SSU rRNA". It matches the Rfam family "Archaeal small subunit ribosomal RNA", at positions 330 to 745 of the family's 1478-position model. The record is from RNAcentral.